RNAcentral lists this small RNA (130 nucleotides) under Marmota monax (woodchuck). The record is from RNAcentral. Lineage: Eukaryota; Metazoa; Chordata; Mammalia; Rodentia; Sciuridae.
GCCAGGCUUGGUGGCACAUACCUGUAAUCCCAGUGACUUGGGAGGCUGAAGCAGGAGGAUUGCAAGUUUGAAGACAGCCAAACCAGCAACCCAGUGAGGCUUUAAGCAACUUAGUGAGAUCCUGUCUCGA